Molecule: ribosomal RNA, 253 nt
Filed under: uncultured bacterium
Lineage: Bacteria
Description: partial 16S ribosomal RNA
Rfam family: Bacterial small subunit ribosomal RNA
Source: RNAcentral
UACGUAGGUGGCAAGCGUUACUCGGAAUCACUAGGCGUAAAGCGCAGGUAGGCGGUUCGGUAAGUCUCUUGUGAAAGCUCCCGGCUCAACUGGGAGAGGUCAAGGGAAACUACCGGGCUAGAGUGUGGCAGAGGAAGCUGGAAUUCCCGGUGUAGCGGUGAAAUGCGUAGAGAUCGGGAGGAAUACCUAUGGCGAAAGCAGGCUUCUGGGCCGUCACUGACGCUGAGCUGCGAAAGCUAGGGGAGCAGACAGG